This 493-nucleotide ribosomal RNA is filed under the name uncultured Bacteroidota bacterium. RNAcentral describes it as "bacterial SSU rRNA". It matches the Rfam family "Bacterial small subunit ribosomal RNA", at positions 8 to 494 of the family's 1533-position model. The record is from RNAcentral. Lineage: Bacteria; Pseudomonadati; Bacteroidota.
AGGGCUUUGAUCCUGGCUCAGGAUGAACGCUAGCGGCAGGCCUAACACAUGCAAGUCGAACGGUAACAGGGGUAGCAAUACCCGCUGACGAGUGGCGCACGGGUGAGUAACGCGUAUGCAACCUGCCCUGUACAGGGGGAUAGCUCGGAGAAAUCCGGAUUAAUACCCCAUAAUGUUGAGAACAGGCAUCUGUUUUUAACUAAAGUUCCGGCGGUACAGGAUGGGCAUGCGUGCCAUUAGUUAGUUGGUGAGGUAACGGCUCACCAAGACUAUGAUGGCUAGGGGGUCUGAGAGGAUGGUCCCCCACACUGGUACUGAGACACGGACCAGACUCCUACGGGAGGCAGCAGUGAGGAAUAUUGGUCAAUGGACGCAAGUCUGAACCAGCCAUGCCGCGUGCAGGAUGACGGCCCUAUGGGUUGGUAAACUGCUUUGGUAUGGGAAGAAACCCCUGAUCGUGAUCAGGUCUGACGGUACUAUACGAAUAAGCAUC